RNAcentral lists this ribosomal RNA (253 nucleotides) under uncultured bacterium. RNAcentral's name for it is "partial 16S ribosomal RNA". It matches the Rfam family "Bacterial small subunit ribosomal RNA", at positions 524 to 776 of the family's 1533-position model. The record is from RNAcentral.
UACAGAGGCCUCGAGCGUUAGGCGGAAUCACUGGGCUUAAAGCGUGUGUAGGCGGACUUCUAAGUACCUUGUGAAAUCCCACGGCUCACCCGUGGAACUGCUCGGUAUACUGGUUGUCUUGAGCCUUCUAGGGGCGAGUGGAACAAAUGGUGGAGCGGUGAAAUGCGUAGAUAUCAGGAGGAACACCAAUGGCGAAGGCAGCACUCUGGGACGUGACUGACGCUGAGACGCGAAAGCGUGGGGAGCAAACAGG